GGAGCAGAAAAGAGAGAGGGAGACCGUGUGUGGAUGUGUGUGCGAGGUGGGGGGGGACCGCAUCAUUCACCGGAAUGGGAAUCGCCGCCUCCCCCUGUUCUCGGCGAGCGGAGCUGCCCGAGCCAGCGGAGCCGAAAGUUGCUGGGCCGGGGCUGAGCGGGGAUCCUGGCACACGGCCCCGCCGCCGCCGCCUCCGACUGACAUCAGCCUCCCCUCCCCCUCCUCGCUCCUCCUGGGCAAGCUUGACUGGCGUAAAAUUAAUAAUUAAUAGGGUGAAAUUGAUUAAAGGGCUGGGCGCACGAUGGGGGCGCUCGGAGAGCCCUUCCCCUACCCGGUCGCUCCUCAUCCGCCUCCGCCUCCCCGCCGGCAGCGGCCCGGGAGCGGGGACUGGCCGCCGCCGGCGAGCCAGGGGAGCUCCGGGGGCAGCUCAACCCGAGCAGGAAGGAAAAGGGCGGCGGGGACCGGGAAGGAGGAGGAAGGCGGUGGCUGCAGCAGCAAACCCUGCUGGGUGGCUGGCUGUAACCGAGAUCGGCCGCGCUAGCGGCGGCGGCGGCAGGCGGGGGCUGGCUCCGGGGCUGGCUCGGCUCAGCGCAGCUGGGUUUGUGUGUGUGUGUGCGUGUGCGUGAGUGUGCGUGUGUGUACAAAGCCGGGUCCCGGGAGCUGCCCGAGGGCGGUGCUCGGCAGCACAAGGCCAGCCCCCCUUGCCCCCCCGCUUCUCCCCUACCACGAUCAGUCUCUGCCACGGAGGGAGUGGGGAACCGCGGGGGACGCGGCCGGGCCAACGCACGCCUCAGCCUCCAGCCCCGCGGAGUGUCUGGAUUGAUGGAGAACUGCGGACGGCACUUUCUUCCCCCGGCUCCCUCCUGCACCAGGGCUCCGCCGGAGCCUCUUACCGCACCCGGCGCUCCACGCCAGCGUGACCCAAGAUAACCCGGCCCCGGGGAGGCCGGGGCGAGCGGGGGAGGGCGCUUAACCAAACCAAACAGAUCGAUCUGUCCCCAGCCGGGGCCGCGGGAGCCCGGGGUGGGAGCGGGGGGAAUAUCGGGGCGCCCCUCGCAGCGGCGCCCAGACGGGCGGGGGGGAGCCGCCGUCCCCGCCGUCCUGGAGUAGCCCGUUCCCCCAGCACGCCCGAUGGGGGGCGGAAGGGAGAUCGCGGCAGGGCCCGUAACGACACAAGGGAUAAACACCAAAGUUAUCACCAGCCGUGACCAAAAUAAAUGCCUGUGAUAAAAAAGCA
This is a long non-coding RNA of Pseudopipra pipra, 1237 nucleotides long. RefSeq lists it as uncharacterized. NCBI's taxonomy places the organism in Eukaryota, Metazoa, Chordata, Aves, Passeriformes, Pipridae. The record is from RefSeq and is a predicted model, not a curated record. The transcript is spliced from 2 exons.